CACCGAAUCCCUCUCAAACAUACAAGAGAUCAAUGGCUGUUACAAAACAGGAAGCUUACCUUCGGACCUUCGAUGAAGACGACAGCUCAGGGUUUCAGUUGGUGUCUUUGGUAUUCCAGAAGAGUAACUCUGCAAAGCACUUUGGAUGUUCAGAAAUUGGAUUGACCUCUUUGAUGCUAGGUUCGAAAAUGUGAAACUUUGGGGUAGCGGAUGAGGUGAGAUCAGCCAGUUUCUGGUUGAACUUUGAAAGUUGAUCAACUGCAUCAUUGCCAACAAGUGCUUCUCCAACAAAUAAGACCAGGUCGGGAUUGCUAAGAUUAGUUUGCAUCUGUUGGUUAAGGCAACAUGGUGUACUGAAGCAAACGGAGUUGAAAAGAGUGAACUUGCAGCCGGAGUUGAACUAAACAAUGGAGUACUAUCACCGAA
Molecule: long non-coding RNA, 426 nt
Organism: Lathyrus oleraceus (garden pea)
Lineage: Eukaryota; Viridiplantae; Streptophyta; Magnoliopsida; Fabales; Fabaceae
Exons: 4
Source: RefSeq, a predicted model, not a curated record